UCGCGCUGCCCACCAUCUGCCGCGUCGACGCGCCCCCGCCGAGGCUCUGCGCUGCCCUCGGGGUGCCCGUCGCCGAGCCGCCGGGCGGCGCCUUCCCGACGGAGUCAGGUACGGCACGACCGCUCCCCGCCGCGUGCAGUCUUAACGCUCCGCUUUCGCUACGCCUUUUCCGUUUCUUUUUCGCAAUGUGACCGUCCUAAACUGUAGAACAACCUUUUUUGAUAAUCGUGCACUAAUCAACGACUUGUAAUUUACUCGUAUUAGAAUUAGAAUUUCACAUACUGUUAGCUCAAAAUUAGCAAGUCAUUUGCAACCUUAAUUCGACAAACUCCCGUUACGAUAGGCCUCCUUUGUCAAAUCAGCUGUCAUCUAGCACGCGCGGUGCCGCAGAAUCUUUAUUCCACGGUAUGCGAAAAUUGGGUUUUUUGGGUAUGCUGAAGAGCAUAAUACAGCUACUUUACGUAAUUAAGUAAUACAACGUAAUGCAAUUUUGUGUAGUCGUUGUGAUAUUAGUCAGUGGCUAGAACAGUGAAGGAAUCAAAAUAUUCGGCCGAACAACCUCCUUUUUUUGGAUAGCCCGGAUGUCGGCACUGCCAAAAAGCAGCACGGCACGAAACUGUUUGAUCAAAAAUUUCUCAUAUACCACUUGCUUCACACGGCGAGAUUGAUCAUACUAACACAUUGUCUCAACGCCCAGCAGGACCAUCCGGCAUGCCGGCGAACGCGCCGUCAACGGCGGCCUCCGGAAUCGGCGGCGCCGGCGGUCCGGCGACGCACCGGCCCACAAGACACCACCUGCUUCUGCCGCUCCUG
This 813-nucleotide long non-coding RNA is filed under the name Oryza brachyantha (malo sina). RNAcentral describes it as "long non-coding RNA (OBRA_LNC000762)". The record is from RNAcentral. Lineage: Eukaryota; Viridiplantae; Streptophyta; Magnoliopsida; Poales; Poaceae.